Long non-coding RNA from Neofelis nebulosa (Clouded leopard), 2483 nucleotides. RefSeq lists it as uncharacterized. Lineage: Eukaryota; Metazoa; Chordata; Mammalia; Carnivora; Felidae. The record is from RefSeq and is a predicted model, not a curated record. The transcript is spliced from 4 exons.
AUGGAUUUCUGCCUGUUCUAAGUCACUGUGAUUUAGAACACAGACAGCAAUAUAUGUUCUUUUUAGAACAUGUAGAUGCCUGUGAACUAAUGGCUGGUCUGAGAAUCGUUGAGGGGACCAAAUAGCAAAGGAUCAAAGUCCGAAUGAAAUAGGACCGCCUUCCUAACUCAAGCUUACUGUGACAUCACCCUGCACUAUUCCAUUUUUCAUUUUCCCACAAGAAUUAUCUACCCGAGCCCAUAAUGCUGAUCCCACCUUGGAGAUGCCAGUUCAACCACUGGAAUGUGAGUCCGAAAAAAGAGCAUAAAAGACCACUGGGCUGUAAGCUCCUUGAGGUCCACAGCCUUGCAUGAUCCUUCCUUGUGCUCCUUGACUGGGCAAGAGUGAAUAGGAAGACAUUGGUCGACAUAACAAGAAGAAUCUAGUAGAAUGCCCACUGAGAGAAUCUAGUAGAACCUUUUCCUUAUAAAGAAGAACGUGGAAAUAAAGAUCAUCCUUAUUACCCAAAAUUUCACCAUCUGCACUCAAAAGUCAACUACAAAUAUCUUUCAUUCUGCGAAUGUCGAACUCGCACUGUCCUAACAGAACCCUUGUGCCGAGUGAUAGCAAGCGUAGUUUUGAAACAGCCAAGGGUCUCAGCAUGGGAUCUCAGCCGCCUGGAUCUACUGCCACGACUUCUUUUCUUUCCAAAAAUGCAUUCUAUAUAUCCACAACUCUUCAACCCAUUCACAUUUGGAAGACCUUCUUCUGUAACUGCAGAGAUUUUGCCUGGUAGUCAGGUUAGGGGGACAGGAUUCGGUUGGCCUCCCAGAAAGUGUAACUUGGUUGCCAAACAGCAAGAGGAGAAAGGCCUCCCCCAAAACCCGGUGUUUGAGAAUGUGGAGAGUGGGCAGACAGAUGCCAUUCCCCAAAUCUUAGAAUUAAGGAAUAGCUGGUCAUUCUCCAACAUACACUUCUUAAAAGAAAUACGCAAUUGGCAAGAACAUGGAUAAAUGCGGUCACCUGAAAGGUUCAAAUGACUCCAACCAUCAGCCGUGAAGACAGUCUGCGAGCAUGAGCCGUCCAAAGAAAUCAUGCGUUGGUCAGAAGUGAGGAUUGGCCAAGUAAGUGUAGAUGAAGGAAGGCCACCAAGGAAAACGUUGGCAGAGCUCAUCUAAGGUGCUCUCUAGAGAAAAGUAAAUCUCAAUUCUUAGACCUUACGUACUUCCUAUACAAUCUUAUGGAAAGUCCAUCCUGAUGUCAUGUUGUAUAAAUACAGGAGAUAAGAAGAUAUUAUCUUAAUUGAAGUUCGCCUUCUCUACUCAGACUACCCAAACUAGAGGCUAACCUCACUAACUUUCAUUCAGCCGGAAGCAUUCGGGGCCUCAGAAGAAUUAUAACAGUAAGAAUGCAAAGACUAAGCUUCAAGCAAACUCAACUUUAAAUUGCUAAGCAUACGUUUGAAACCCAAGGACGAGACUUUGGUUUCAUCAGACAGGCCUGGCCCUGUGCUAAAUAAUAUUCAUAGAAGAAUAAAUAUCACCCAGAAACAGUUCUUCCUGUGAAUUCAGAUGAGAUGAAGAUCCCAUGGGCCAGGAUCAGCAUAUAUGUGAAAGGAAACAGGGCAGAUCCCCCUGAGUGUGCUAUGAAAGGAUCUACCCUCUAUCCCCAGACCUAGUUCUGGAGGACCACAGAACUCUCUAUUUGUUAAGGUAAUACUUGCUGCUAUCACCAAAUUUUGAAGGCUUACCGCAGUAGUAUUUUAUUUUUUAUUUUUUUAAUGCAAGUGUCCAAGCAGGUUGGUCUGAUCGGUAGGCAGCUGUUGUCCAUCUGAUGACUCAUGUACUCCAGCUCCUCCCAUCUUGGACUUCCUCAAUUCCUUGGAAACUUAGCAUCCAACAGGCAGAAGAAAAAAAGAGAAGGUGAGAAAGCCACCCCCACUUUUUAUAAACCCUGCUGUAGAAAUGGCAUACUUCACCCCUACUCUCAUUCAGUUGGCAAGAACUAUUUGAAUUACAUACCCGCAACUUGAUGCAAAAACUUGGAAAUACAGCCCCUGGCUACACAGUCUAGAUGCGGCAAUUAUUCCAUACUAUGGAAGGAGAAGCAUGCCAUUUUGGUGGAAAGCUGGCCAUUUCCGCCACUAAUUACCACGUAGGUUCGGGCUAUAGGACAAAAUCAACAUGUACCCCAUUUCCCAUCUGUGGCUCUGAAAAGUGGCAAGAUUUGAGGGGAUUCUGCACGCUAAAAUGAUGAAGGAGCAGUCAAGAAGAAAUGUAGCUUGAGUAGUCACAGAAGUUCAAAGACAUCCCCUACCCAGCACUCCCUCAUUGGUACCCUCCUUGGAAGUCUGCUGUGCCUCCAGAGCGGUAUGGGAGAGCACAGGAACUUUUCUUGUGUACCUGCAGAGCCUCUUCCAGAAGAGCACGACAGUAUUAGAAAGAAAGCUGGCAGAUGUGAAGAGGCCCCCGGAGUAGGAUGAAGGGAAGCCACGGAGUGCUACC